Small nuclear RNA from Bison bison bison, 107 nucleotides. Lineage: Eukaryota; Metazoa; Chordata; Mammalia; Artiodactyla; Bovidae. The record is from Ensembl.
GUCCUCACUUCAGCUGCGCAUAUACUAAAAUUGGAACGAUACAGAGAAGAUUAGUAUGGCCCCUGCACAAGGAUGACAUGCAAGUUCAGGAAGUGUUCCUUAUUUUU